Molecule: ribosomal RNA, 337 nt
Filed under: Epirinus scrobiculatus
Lineage: Eukaryota; Metazoa; Arthropoda; Insecta; Coleoptera; Scarabaeidae
Description: partial 16S ribosomal RNA
Rfam family: Archaeal large subunit ribosomal RNA (bases 1-169)
Source: RNAcentral
GUCUGACCUGCCCUAUGAAGUUAGAUUUAAAUGGCUGCGAUACUCUGAUCGUACAAAGGUAGCAUAAUAAUUAGUUUUUUAAUUAAGAACUGGAAUGAAGGGUCCUACGAGAAAAAGACUGUCUCAAUUUAAUUUAAUUAGAACUUUAUUUUUAAGUAAAAAAGCUUAAAUAAUUUUAAAAGACGAGAAGACCCUAUAGAGUUUUAUAUUUAAUAUUUACUUUAAAAUUGAAGAAUUAUAUAAUUAAUUUAAAUAUAAAGUAUUUGGUUGGGGUGAUUAAAAAAUUAAAUAAACUUUUUUUAUUUUAAAAUCCAUUGAUUUAUGAAUAAUUGAGCCA